UACGAAGGGGGCUAGCGUUGCUCGGAAUUACUGGGCGUAAAGGGCGCGUAGGCGGACAGUUUAGUCAGAGGUGAAAGCCCAGGGCUCAACCUUGGAAUUGCCUUUGAUACUGGCUGUCUUGAGUUCGGGAGAGGUGAGUGGAAUGCCGAGUGUAGAGGUGAAAUUCGUAGAUAUUCGGCGGAACACCAGUGGCGAAGGCGACUCACUGGCCCGAUACUGACGCUGAGGCGCGAAAGCGUGGGGAUCAAACAGG
RNAcentral lists this ribosomal RNA (253 nucleotides) under uncultured bacterium. RNAcentral describes it as "partial 16S ribosomal RNA". It matches the Rfam family "Bacterial small subunit ribosomal RNA", at positions 524 to 776 of the family's 1533-position model. The record is from RNAcentral.